GUUAUCAGCCAUAAGCUCCCUUCCUACACAUUUGUGAGCAAGUAAAAAUAUUUCUUGCAUCUUGCUUCAUUGUUUUGUGCUCUCUGUUUUCUUCUUUUACUCCUCCUCAUCCCCAACACUAGUUAUUGGGGUUUUUGUUCAGUUCGCCUCAGUUAUAGUACCUUGCCACUAUAUGCAUUUGGCACAUAGAUGGGAAGUUCAUACUAGAAGGUGAUAUUUGAGGAACAUAUUCGGGAAUGGCUGAUUGGAUGGGUUUGGAAGGCAAAAAAGAAGAAUAAGGGCAGUGGUAUCAGAAGGUCGUCGAAUGAUAGUAGCCAAGUUGGUCCAAAACUAGAGUCACCUUUGGUAUUUGAGAUAGAUAAGGUUACUGGAAAGGAGUCUUCUUCAUCUGCAGUAUGAGUAUAUAACUAUGCAGAUUUGAGUCUAAAUGAAUUUGUAGAUUUGGUGUUGGGCUAUCCUAACAUUAUUAGUCUCAAGCAUUUAGAGAGAGGGUUUUUUCCAUGAUGGUACAAAGAAUACAUUAGCCAAUACAUUGUAUUGAAGCACUUAUUCUUAGGCUUUGUUAACCAUUGAUAUUGAAAAAUGGUUUAAA
Gossypium raimondii (Peruvian cotton) is the source of this 592-nucleotide long non-coding RNA. RefSeq lists it as uncharacterized. The record is from RefSeq and is a predicted model, not a curated record. The transcript is spliced from 3 exons. Lineage: Eukaryota; Viridiplantae; Streptophyta; Magnoliopsida; Malvales; Malvaceae.